UACGAAGGGGGCUAGCGUUGCUCGGAAUCACUGGGCGUAAAGGGUGCGUAGGCGGGUCUUUAAGUCAGGGGUGAAAUCCUGGAGCUCAACUCCAGAACUGUCCUUGAUACUGAAGAUCUUGAGUUCGGGAGAGGUGAGUGGAACUGCGAGUGUAGAGGUGAAAUUCGUAGAUAUUCGCAAGAACACCAGUGGCGAAGGCGGCUCACUGGCCCGAUACUGACGCUGAGGCACGAAAGCGUGGGGAGCAAACAGGG
RNAcentral lists this ribosomal RNA (254 nucleotides) under uncultured bacterium. RNAcentral describes it as "partial 16S ribosomal RNA". It matches the Rfam family "Bacterial small subunit ribosomal RNA", at positions 524 to 777 of the family's 1533-position model. The record is from RNAcentral.